UAGUCCGGAUUGCAGUCUGCAACUCGACUGCAUGAAGUCGGAAUCGCUAGUAAUCGCGGAUCAGCAUGCCGCGGUGAAUACGUUCCCGGGUCUUGUACACACCGCCCGUCAAACAAUGGGAGUGGUGUUUACCAGAAGUCGUUAGCCUAACCGCAAGGAGGGCGGCGACCACGGUGAGCACCGUGACUAAUGUUAAGUCGUAACAAGGUAAC
Molecule: ribosomal RNA, 212 nt
Filed under: uncultured bacterium
Lineage: Bacteria
Description: partial 16S ribosomal RNA
Rfam family: Bacterial small subunit ribosomal RNA
Source: RNAcentral